CUUUUAGGUCGAAGUGAUUGGAUGUGCUCCCAGGAAAAGCCUCUAAGCUCCAGCUCAACGGGACCGUACCGCAAACCGACACUGGUGGGCGAGCUGAAUAUGCUCAGGCGCUUGAGAGAACUCAGGAGAAGGAACUCGGCAAAUUGACACCGUAACUUCGGGAUAAGGUGUGCCUUUGUAGUGUGAAGGAAGAAACAUCCGGAGCAUGAAGAGGUCUCAGAGAAUUGGUGGCUGCGACUGUUUACUAAAAACACAGCACUCUGCAAAGACGAAAGUCGACGUAUAGGGUGUGAUGCCUGCCCGGUGCUGGAAGAUUAAUUGAUGGGGUGCAAGCUCCUGAUCGAAGUCCCAGUAAACGGCGGCCGUAACUAUAACGGUCCUAAGGUAGCGAAAUUCCUUGUCGGGCAAGUUCCGACCUGCACGAAUGGCAUAACGAUGGCCACACUGUCUCCUCCUGAGACUCAGUGAAGUUGAAGUGUUUGUGAUGAUGCAAUCUCCCCGCGGCUAGACGGAAAGACCCCAUGAACCUUUACUGUAGCUUUGCAUUGGACUUUGAACCGAUCUGUGUAGGAUAGGCGGGAGGCUGAGAAGCGGUGACGCUAGUCAUCGUGGAGCCGUCCUUGAAAUACCGCCCUGAUUUGUUUGAGGUUCUAACCUAGGUCAGUGAUCCUGAUCGGGGACCGUGCAUGGUAGGCAGUUUGACUGGGGCGGUCUCCUCCUAAAGGGUAACGGAGGAGUGCGAAGGUACGCUAGGUACGGUCGGAAAUCGUGCUGAUAGUGCAAAGGCAAAAGCGUGCUUGACUGCGAGACCCACAAGUCGAGCAGAUACGAAAGUAGGUCUUAGUGAUCCGGUGGCUCUGUAUGGAAGGGCCAUCGCUCAACGGAUAAAAGGUACUCUGGGGAUAACAGGCUGAUACCGCCCAAGAGUUCAUAUCGACGGC
This 941-nucleotide ribosomal RNA is filed under the name human gut metagenome. Its description in RNAcentral is "bacterial LSU rRNA". It matches the Rfam family "Bacterial large subunit ribosomal RNA", at positions 1576 to 2512 of the family's 2925-position model. The record is from RNAcentral.